Molecule: small RNA, 1946 nt
Filed under: Pongo abelii (Sumatran orangutan)
Lineage: Eukaryota; Metazoa; Chordata; Mammalia; Primates; Hominidae
Description: retained intron
Source: RNAcentral
AAGAUGCGGGUGCCACGAGGGCCAGGCCUCGGCCAAGCCCUGCUGGGGUAAAUCCCAGCAGCCCAGGCUCCAGUCUUGCCUCAGGGGUCCCUCCUUUCCAGCUCUGCCAGCCCCUCAGGGCUGCUGGGCACCCCCCCUUCACCUCCUGAGCACCCCAGGCGCUCAGCCCUCUCCCCCUCCCAUGUCUAGUCCCUCAGGGCUGUCCGGACGGACUGACGUGUGUACCUACCCCCCAUGUGGGUCUCCUGCUCUCCCUUCGUGGGGACACUGGGCAGGCACUGGGCCUUGCCCCAAGCCCCGCCUGCCACCUCACCCACUGCCUCUGCCUCCCUGGGGCAGAGCUGUUCCCAGACGGGUGGGGCGGGGCCCAACUGUCCCCAGCUCCUUCAGCCCUUUCUGUCCCUCCCAGUGAGGCCAGCUGCGGUGAAGAGGGUGCCUUCUUGCCUGGAGUUCCCUCUGCUACGGCUGCCCCCUCCCAGCCCUGGCCCACUGAGCCAGACCCAGCUGUCCCCAUUCCCACUUCUGGUCCUGCCACCUCCUGAGCCACCUUCUCACCUGGUCUGGGUAGAGUAAUGGCCUCGAGCACAGGUGACCAGAGCCAGAUGGUGAAAAACGGACUGAGAACGAAGGUGCUGACGCUGGACAGCAUGAACCCACGUGUGCAGAGGGUGGAGUACGCGGUGCGUGGCCCCAUAGUGCAGCGAGCCUUGGAGCUGGAGCAGGAGCUGCGCCAGGGUGUGAAGAAGCCUUUCACCGAGGUCAUCCGUGCCAACAUUGGGGACGCACAGGCUAUGGGGCAGAGGCCCAUCACCUUCCUGCGCCAGGUGAGGCUCCUGCACUGCCCGCUGCACCCGCCCACCCCCAGCCCAUGUGCCCUGGCCUCAGCACUCCGUCUUCCCAGGUCUUGGCCCUCUGUGUUAACCCUGAUCUUCUGAGCAGCCCCAACUUCCCUGAGGAUGCCAAGAAAAGGGCGGAGCGCAUCCUGCAGGCGUGUGGGGGCCACAGUCUGGGGGCCUACAGCGUCAGCUCCGGCAUCCAGCUAAUCCGGGAAGACGUGGCGCGGUACAUUGAGAGGCGUGAUGGAGGCAUCCCUGCGGACCCCAACAACGUCUUCCUGUCCACAGGGGCCAGCGAUGCCAUCGUGACGGUGCUGAAGCUGCUGGUGGCCGGCGAGGGCUACACGCGCACGGGUGUGCUCAUCCCCAUCCCCCAGUACCCACUCUACUCGGCCACGCUGGCAGAGCUGGGCGCAGUGCAGGUGGAUUACUACCUAGACGAGGAGCGCGCCUGGGCGCUAGACGUGGCGGAGCUUCACCGUGCGCUGUGCCAGGCGCGUGACCACUGCCGCCCUCGUGCGCUCUGUGUCAUCAACCCCGGCAACCCCACCGGGCAGGUGCAGACCCGCGAGUGCAUCGAGGCCGUGAUCCGCUUCGCCUUCGAAGAGCGGCUCUUUCUGCUGGCGGACGAGGUGCGCGGCGCGGGGGAGCGGGAAGCCGGGCAACAGUCCGCCCCCGUGACGCCUUGCGCCCUUCCAGGUGUACCAGGACAACGUGUACGCCGCGGGCUCGCAGUUCCACUCAUUCAAGAAGGUGCUCAUGGAGAUGGGGCCGCCCUACGCCGGGCAGCAGGAGCUUGCCUCCUUCCACUCCACCUCCAAGGGCUACAUGGGCGAGUGCGUGCGUGCGAGGCGGGUGGGGGCUCGCGGGCCAUGGCCUGGCCCUCCUUGCCCGAUGGGCCACCCCCUCCUCCGCACCUGACCUGGACGUGCGCAGGUGCGGGUUCCGCGGCGGCUAUGUGGAGGUGGUGAACAUGGACGCCGCAGUGCAGCAGCAGAUGCUGAAGCUGAUGAGUGUGCGGCUGUGCCCGCCGGUGCCAGGCCAGGCUCUGCUGGACCUGGUGGUCAGCCCACCCGCGCCCACCGACCCCUCCUUCGCGCAGUUCCAGGC